Molecule: ribosomal RNA, 322 nt
Filed under: uncultured eukaryote
Lineage: Eukaryota
Description: partial 18S ribosomal RNA
Rfam family: Eukaryotic small subunit ribosomal RNA
Source: RNAcentral
CCCUUAGAUGUUCUGGGCCGCACGCGUGCUACACUGAGUAAAUCAAUGGGUAAGGGAACACGAAAGUGCAACCUAAUCUUGAAAUUUGCUCGUGAUGGGGAUCGACGGUUGCAAUUUUCCGUCGUGAACGAGGAAUACCUUGUAGGCGCGUGUCAUCAUCACGCGCCGAAUACGUCCCUGCCCUUUGUACACACCGCCCGUCGCUCCUACCGAUUGAGUGAUCCGGUGAGGCUCUGGGACCUGGACGGAAAGAGCGUUUCGCUUGUUCUGUUUGGGAAACUUGGUCGAACCUUAUCAUUUAGAGGAAGGAGAAGUCGCAACA